GGAGUUAGCCGGUGCUUCUUCUGUGAGUGAUGUCCUUCCUGCCGGCUAUUAACCCGCAGGCCUUCUUCCUCACUGAAAGUGCUUUACAACCCGAAGGCCUUCUUCACACACGCGGCAUGGCUGGAUCAGGGUUGCCCCCAUUGUCCAAUAUUCCCCACUGCUGCCUCCCGUAGGAGUCUGGGCCGUGUCUCAGUCCCAGUGUGGCUGAUCAUCCUCUCAGACCAGCUACGGAUCGUCGCCUUGGUGAGCCGUUACCUCACCAACCAGCUAAUCCGACAUAGGCUCAUCCGAUAGCGCGAGGCCCGAAGGUCCCCCGCUUUCCCCCGUAGGGCGUAUGCGGUAUUAGCCUGGGUUUCCCCAGGUUAUCCCCCACUACCGGGCAGAUUCCUAUGCAUUACUCACCCGUCCGCCGCUCGCCACCAGGGAGCAAGCUCCCCGUGCUGCCGCUCGACUUGCAUGUGUUAGGCCUGCCGCCAGCGUUCAAUCUGAGCCAGGAUCAAACUCGA
This 506-nucleotide ribosomal RNA is filed under the name uncultured bacterium. RNAcentral describes it as "partial 16S ribosomal RNA". The record is from RNAcentral.